RNAcentral lists this ribosomal RNA (465 nucleotides) under uncultured bacterium. RNAcentral's name for it is "partial 16S ribosomal RNA". It matches the Rfam family "Bacterial small subunit ribosomal RNA", at positions 338 to 795 of the family's 1533-position model. The record is from RNAcentral.
CCUACGGGUGGCAGCAGUGGGGAAUAUUGCGCAAUGGGCGAAAGCCUGACGCAGCGACGCCGCGUGAGGGAUGAAGGUCUUCGGAUCGUAAACCUCUGUUAGCAGGGAAGAACGGUCACUGUGCUAAUCAGCAGUGAAUGGACCGUACCUGCAAAGGAAGCACCGGCUAACUCCGUGCCAGCAGCCGCGGUAAUACGGAGGGUGCGGGCGUUAAUCGGAAUUACUGGGCUUAAAGCGCUCGUAGGCGGUAUGUUAAGUCAAGGGUGAAAUCCCCGCGCUCAACGUGGGAACUGCCUGUGAAACUGGCAAACUUGAGUGUGUGAGAGGAUAGUGGAAUUCCAGGUGUAGGAGUGAAAUCCGUAGAUAUCUGGAGGAACAUCGGUGGCGAAGGCGAUUAUCUGGCACAUAACUGACGCUGAGGAGCGAAAGCGUGGGUAGCAAACAGGAUUAGAUACCCGGGUAGUC